Transfer RNA from Treponema succinifaciens DSM 2489, 88 nucleotides. It matches the Rfam family "tRNA". From Rfam's summary of the family: Transfer RNA (tRNA) molecules are approximately 80 nucleotides in length. Their secondary structure includes four short double-helical elements and three loops (D, anti-codon, and T loops). Lineage: Bacteria; Pseudomonadati; Spirochaetota; Spirochaetia; Treponematales; Treponemataceae. The record is from Rfam.
GCCGGGAUGGUGGAAUAGGUAGACACAAGGGACUUAAAAUCCCUCGGCAAUUUAACCUGCCGUGCCAGUUCGAUUCUGGUUCCCGGCA